UACGUAGGGGGCUAGCGUUGUCCGGAAUCAUUGGGCGUAAAGAGCUCGUAGGCGGCUUGUCGCGUCGACUGUGAAAACCCGUGGCUCAACCAUGUGGUCUGCAGUCGAUACGGGCAGGCUAGAAUUCGGUAGGGGAGACUGGAAUUCCUGGUGUAGCGGUGAAAUGCGCAGAUAUCAGGAGGAACACCGGUGGCGAAGGCGGGUCUCUGGGCCGAUACUGACGCUGAGGAGCGAAAGCGUGGGGAGCGAACAGG
This 254-nucleotide ribosomal RNA is filed under the name uncultured bacterium. Its description in RNAcentral is "partial 16S ribosomal RNA". It matches the Rfam family "Bacterial small subunit ribosomal RNA", at positions 524 to 776 of the family's 1533-position model. The record is from RNAcentral.